CUCAGUUGAGCAGCAUAACCGUCGCUACAUGAACACUUCAUAAAUGUUUCGUUUUGUUUCGUUUUGUCUCAAAAUCUAAUAUCAAAUACAUGAAAAACAUAUAUAAAUUGCACAUUUUGUGUAGAGGAUUCGUAUAAUCCAUUGAAGUAUUCUUUUAGGUUUUAGGAUUGAUUUCGUAAAAGUAAAGGAGCACAAUUAAAUAGCAGGAAUACUUCAUUCGUGUAUUACGUUCAGCUCGUAUAAAUACAUACACAAGAAUUUGAAUUGCUCUAGCUGGGUUUUCAUGUGCUGCAGUAUCAUUGCGAAUAUAUACAUUGUAUUAUUGGGUGUAGUUGAAACAUUUACAGUGUAUACAGUGUAGAGUACAGGUCCAAGCAAGCUUCCUUACGACAUUCUUGCAUUUAUGUAUUUUAUACUAGAGAACGAAUCUUUUAUUUUUACAUAAAAUGUUCUCUUUGUAAGGUAGGAGUAUAGUAGUUGGUAGAAUACAUCAGGGAAGUGAUUUUUAAUUGUUCUCAAUAAUCUUCCAGAUUUUGUCGAAGGAUUUCUCUAUACCCAGGAAUAGGCAUAUUGAGCAUUUUUUAUCUUCCAGAGCAUGGAUAAUUUUGUUGGUUACCUUGUACAUCUGCUUGAUUGUAGCAGUUUAUCUCUGACUCCAAAUUUAUGAUUAAGUAUUAGUUGUUUACUAUUGAUUAUUUCUAAUUCUGACGAGGAAUAUUUUUUAUAGUAUUUUCAAGAGAAUUGAUGAAAAAAAUUCAUGAAUAUUUUUAUCUGGUUUCGGCAGCAUUAUAAUUUCAAUCAAUUUCCAUGUGCUUGGAAAAUGCUGGAUUCUGAAUGUAGCAUUAAAUAAUAUUGUUAUGAAUCUGACAGAGUUGGGCAUAUUUUAUUCGAACGAAUAACGAGUA
Molecule: long non-coding RNA, 905 nt
Organism: Frieseomelitta varia
Lineage: Eukaryota; Metazoa; Arthropoda; Insecta; Hymenoptera; Apidae
Exons: 3
Source: RefSeq, a predicted model, not a curated record